This 1399-nucleotide long non-coding RNA is filed under the name Phoenix dactylifera (date palm). Its description in RNAcentral is "long non-coding RNA (PDAC_LNC008318)". The record is from RNAcentral. Lineage: Eukaryota; Viridiplantae; Streptophyta; Magnoliopsida; Arecales; Arecaceae.
GAUAAGUGCUAAAUAAUGCAUAAAUUCAUAUCUUAUUCAUAGCACUUAUCAUUAUUUUAAUUCACAUAUUUUGUAAAUUUAACUAAAAAAUGUGUUACCCUCAUCAUUGCAUUUUAAUAAAUUAAUUCGAGUUUGAUUUAGUUAUUUAUUAAUUGAGCCUAAUGUAUGCAGGUCGAAUCUAAUAUAUGCAGGUCGAGUCAAACUUAUUUCGGAUGAUCCCUGAACCCGAAUGACACGUACCCCGUUCAUCCCAACUCUAUUGUUUCUUUCACAUCCAAUUGAGCCCGACUUUUCAUGUUCUAACAUUUUGUCCCAAAAUCUCCCACGUUGCAAUGUUUAAGCCCAUAUCACGUUCAUUAGACUUUAUCCCGGUUGAAACCAACCAUUCCAGUCAUCUCUUCAUUACACGUCAUCAUGCAAAUCCCCUUCAUUCCAUCUCAACUUUGUGGAUUUUCCUCCACGUCCUUCCCAACUACUGUAUUCCAAAGUCCACAGCCGAAANNNNNNNNNNNNNNNNNNNNUCAUGUUUACAUUUGACAAAUGAUAAGUGCUAAAUAAUGCAUAAAUUCAUAUCUUAUUCAUAGCACUUAUCAUUAUUUAAUUCACAUAUUUUGUAAAUUUAACUAAAAAAUGUGUUACCCUCAUCAUUGCAUUUUAAUAAAUUAAUUCGAGUUUGAUUUAGUUAUUUAUUAAUUGAGCCUAAUGUAUGCAGGUCGAAUCUAAUAUAUGCAGGUCGAGUCAAACUUAUUUCGGAUGAUCCCUGAACCCGAAUGACACGCACCCCGUUCAUCCCAACUCUAUUGUUUCUUUCGGAUCGAUCUCACAUCCUUAUCCCUUCCGUGUUCAAAGCUCCAGCUUAUCUAUGCUUCAGCCGAUAACCAAACGCAUCCUCCCAGCAUCCUCUUCCUUCGAAACAGAGUACCAGCCAUCAGCCGAAUCCAGCUCCUCCCAACAUCCAAGAUCUUCUUUCGGACUCCCAGCUUCCACCGUGAAAAUCUUCAUCCCGUUCGCGUUCGGAUAUGCUUGAUUCAACCAUCCACAUGAGAAAUCUCACACGGUAUCUCCCCUGUUCUUGCAAUCAACCUUAUCCCAACGUCUCAGCAACCAUCCUUUACCGUCCACAUCAUCCUAAAUCCCAGCAUCCCCUGUUCCCAAUCGGAUGAACAUUCCAAACAACCACUCCCAGAACCAAGUUCAGAUCCCAUCCUCUCCACGAUAGCUUCUUUCCGAGCUUCACGGCAUCCAAAUGCAUCUUCCCCUGUUUCAAAACUAUCAACCUAGUGUUCCGAAUUGAUCUUCUUCAAGAUUCCUCCCACGUCCACGAACAAACUUCCUUGCAUCCUCAUCCCGUGAACAACCAAACUAUCCUCCCUUGUUUCAACUUCAACGUCCUCAACCG